UAAUUAUUAGGUGUGCCCAGGAUAUACUGGA
Molecule: non-coding RNA, 31 nt
Filed under: Homo sapiens (human)
Lineage: Eukaryota; Metazoa; Chordata; Mammalia; Primates; Hominidae
Source: RNAcentral